CCCUUAGAUGUUCUGGGCCGCACGCGCGCUACACUGAUGCAUUCAACGAGUCUAAAACCUGCUCUGAUAGGGGUGGGUAAUCUUUUGAAUGUGCAUCGUGAUUGGGAUAGAUGAUUGCAAUUUUUCGUCUUCAGCGAGGAAUGCCUAGUAAACGCAAGUCAUCAGCUUGCAUUGAUUACGUCCCUGCCCUUUGUACACACCGCCCGUCGCUCCUACCGAUUGAAUGAUCCGAUGAAUAUCAUGGAUUGAGGAUGCAAGCAGGUUCGCCUGUCUUCAUCUUCGAGAAGUGAAGUAAAUCUUAUCAUUUAGAGGAGGGAGAAGUCGUAACA
Molecule: ribosomal RNA, 329 nt
Filed under: uncultured eukaryote
Lineage: Eukaryota
Description: partial 18S ribosomal RNA
Rfam family: Eukaryotic small subunit ribosomal RNA
Source: RNAcentral